ACCGGGACUCAGAUUCUCCCCAGACGCCAAGGUUGCGGGUCAUGGAGUCCCGAACCCUCCUCCUGCUGUUCUCGGGAGCCGUGGCCCUGAUCCAGACCUGGGCAGAUUACAAUUACAAUCAAGGCAGAAAUGAUCUCAUUUUUACAUUACAACUCUGGAAAAGGCAAUAGACUGAGAUGCAAGUGUGCCCCCAAGUGAUGGGCAGAAGGAGAGAAGGUGUUUUGGAUGCAUUCUAGAACACAGGUAAUCUAAGGAGAGUUGAUCAAGGCCGUGGAAGAGUCCUCCAGCCACUAUUGGCCAUCAAAGGAGUCCUCUGUGUCCCAGGAAUGGUCCUGCUUUGGUGUCCCUGGUGUGACCCAUCACCCGCUGGGAACAGCCUGAGAGAAGUAGGGCCUCUGCACCAAUGCUGCUGAGGAUGUCAGAGCACAGGAACGAGGCCUUGGGAAAUUACCUGGAAAUGCGACUGAAAUCUUCCUUCCUGAGGGGUCUGGGCUCUUGGAAAUCAAACCCUCUCAGGUUGGGUGGCUGGACGAUUCUCCUCACACUUACAAUGGGACAAGGGGAACCAGGAGGCCCCCAAGGGGAUCCCUGGGUUCCACACGAACUCCUCCUACCCUCAUUGUGUGACAGCAGCCAUGCCUCCUCCUGGGGAUCAGGAUCUAUUACCUGUGCCUGGAGAGGAGGGGACUCCUCUUCUCACCCGCUGGUCUCUGGACACAUACUGUCCAAUUCCCCUGUGGCAGCUGUAAUGUGUAGUUCAAUGGGCACUCAUUUGUCCCCUUUUAAGGGUACCCUCCUUUAGAAUCCAGGACCUUCUACCCUGCAGAGUGUGGUUUUGGGAGAGAAGUGCAAAAUCCCACGACAGGUGAGUUGAAGGAAUGGGAUAUGGAGCCACAUCCACUUCCACCCCUUGGUAUCUGGACCCACGUGUUCUUCCUACUGAGAUUACAGAACUGUAGAGAUGUCUUUGAUUUUUAAAAUGCACCAUGUCCUGAAAGAUGGCACCCUCCCACCCGCAGAGUGCUUCCUGCAAGCUGGCGUUGAGCUGUGCCUAUAGAAGCUCUUUUCAACAUUCUUUAUGGCCAGCAGCCCUUGGUUGGUGCAGAUGGUGAUAGGACCAGUGGGUCCCACAGCAUGGCCACACUGCACCUCCUUCGCUGUCAAGUGGGUCCCCCACGAAGAUACUGCACGGAGAGCAGUGCCAAGCCUGUGGAUCAGGAAUAUCAACAGCCCCCAGAGAGUGGUGCUGGCUGAGGGUCUGAGAGCAGGACAGGAAAACCCACCUAUGGAAUAGGUGCCUAUCCCUGUGAAGAUGAACCUCUGGCCCUUCCAGGAUGGAAGGAGUGCAAUGUAGUCAACUCCUCACUUAGGGUCUGGUUGGUCACCUAAAGAAAUAGAGCCCUACCAGGGAAGAUCAUUGGGUUCAAAUGCUGAUGAGUAGGACAUUUAGAGGUGGCAGUGUCUGGAUCUACCUUGGUAGGAGGGAGUCAGUACUGUUGGACCCAUAGGUAGCCUCAUCCCUGCCACUGUGUUUGCUCCAUUUAUGUACCCAUCCUACCCGGCCUGGGCUGACCCAUGGGGAAGGCUGGCUAAUUUCAGUGCUUCUGCUUGGUUGUUCAGGGCCAUUUCAGGUUUGGGUGUUUUCUGGGGAUGUUAACAUGGGAUUCAGGCUCAACUCACAAGAAACUUUUCCAUCUCAUGAUGGAUGCUGUUGGGCAUGUCCAAUGUAUGACUUCAUGAGUUACACAGAUGCUAAUUCGUAGGGGCACUUGGAAUCACAUGGUUGUUUUGUGUCCCAUGGUCAAGCAUUCUAUCUUAUCAGGGCCUACAGUAACAUGCCAAAAGUUGCUUCCAACAUAUUUCUCUGCUUUGGAUGGGGCAUAUUUCUGUGCUGUGGAUGACAUGGCCUUACUCCAGAAUCCCAGGCCCUCCACUGUGACUCUCCUACUGGUGCUUGGUUCAGCUCCACCCCAAAUCUUACCCCACCACUGGCACUUUCAGCACCAGGGGGUCUGAAGGAUGGUGACUGCGCCAUGGCCUGGAUCUGCUGCAGUGUCCUUUCCUGUGGAGGCUCCACUCAAAGCUGGCAUCCUCCUAUGUCACCUAGAGUGUGGGUCAAAGCAAUACACCUACAUGUAGAAUGUGAUGUCAGAACUCAAACAGGCUCACCAGGCAGUGUGCUUCCUUCCUUGCAUGAGGAUGCAAGAUGCAACAGUUUGUCUUUCACAUUGGAAGGGACACCCCUGGAUGCCCCUAACCACUAGACCUGUAAAACUUCACUGCAGUGGCCACUUCUGAAUCUCUGUAAGGUUUAUUUAUCUUCACCCUCUGGAGAGAAGAUGUUUUACCAAAGCCUCUAGUGUACCUUCCUCCUCUUACUCAUCCAUCCCAGUCAACAUGAUGUUGUCAAUGAAAUAAAGGAAUUUAAUAUUCUAUAGUAUAUCCAGGUUCUCCAGAUCUCUUAAGACUGUACUAUAGAGGCCUGGGGAAUUAUAAUAGCCCUGAGGCAAACUAUGAAUUAAAGUGUUGUGGAUCCCACAUGAA
RNAcentral lists this small RNA (2544 nucleotides) under Homo sapiens (human). RNAcentral describes it as "HLA complex P5 (ENSG00000230389.3)". The record is from RNAcentral. Lineage: Eukaryota; Metazoa; Chordata; Mammalia; Primates; Hominidae.